Epinephelus lanceolatus (giant grouper) is the source of this 683-nucleotide long non-coding RNA. RefSeq lists it as uncharacterized. Lineage: Eukaryota; Metazoa; Chordata; Actinopteri; Perciformes; Serranidae. The record is from RefSeq and is a predicted model, not a curated record.
UCCAGCCACAGUUUGGACGGUGAUGAGCGUGACUAACAGCAGCAGCAGCAGCGGCGCAGCCCUCAUCCUGUACAAACACACAGCAGUGGGACAAAUCAACAUUACAAAGGUUCACAUUCAUCACGACUGGAGAGGUGGAGGGGCCCAGGGGCCCAUUGUAUCCUAAUCCGCCCAUGGCAAAGACAGGUGGCUUAAACCUCCAGAAAUAUCAGUAACACACAGUGCGAGCGGAGCUGGUGGAGCAUGAUGGAGUGGAAGUUUCACACACCAACCAGGCUGCAAUUAUGCACUGCUGCACUAAUAACCUGUCCAGGGACUGGAGUUGAAAAGCACCGCAGCAGCAUCCCACGAGGAAACCAUUCCAAGCCUUUUCCAGGAUCAUAUGAAGCAGCAGCAGGGGAAUGAAAAAAAAUAUUUAUGGCAAUAAAGACUUUGGUCAACCAGAGCCUCAUUUAUGUAUCAUCAGAUGCUAAAGAGACGGGUUUUUAAAAUGAUGUUGAGUUAAAUGUGACAUGAUGAGACAAAAUGAGAGGUUUUCCCUUUGAGUUUGUGCAUUCUGCUGUUAAUUUAUUCAAAUUAAAUUAUUAAAACAUAUUUGUAAAUGACACUGAAGAUCAGCUGAACCAUGUCUCUGAAGUCCACAUAUUUACAUUCACAAGUAAAACCCAGCACAGUUUAGAUUA